Molecule: long non-coding RNA, 340 nt
Organism: Oncorhynchus tshawytscha (Chinook salmon)
Lineage: Eukaryota; Metazoa; Chordata; Actinopteri; Salmoniformes; Salmonidae
Source: Ensembl
GUCCAAAGUUGAAUGAGAUGGAAAUCAUGACGCAAGCGGUUUACAAAUGUUUCGUGUUAGGCUAUAAAAAUGGAUGUUAUCAAACAAAACGAACAUUCACUGUGUAGUUAGGACACUUGUCAUUGCCACCAGAGGAAGAUCUUCAAUGGAUCUCGGUGCAACUUCUCUCUGCACACACCCUUGCUGCAUCCAGGUUCCUGUAGUGAUGUCUCGGAGUUGUACAUGAUCUCCAGGUUUCAGUUCAGCUUCGGCAGGGUGUCCUGCUAAAGUUGGAGCAACUUCCGGGCAGCUUCUCUCCCGAACACUGGAGCCACGAAUACCUCCAGACGACGGAUUGUUG